RNAcentral lists this ribosomal RNA (1343 nucleotides) under uncultured bacterium. RNAcentral describes it as "16S ribosomal RNA". It matches the Rfam family "Bacterial small subunit ribosomal RNA", at positions 28 to 1378 of the family's 1533-position model. The record is from RNAcentral.
GACGAACGCUGUCGGCGUGCUUAACACAUGCAAGUCGAACGGAAAGGCCCUGCUUUUGUGGGGUGCUCGAGUGGCGAACGGGUGAGUAACACGUGAGUAACCUGCCCUUGACUUUGGGAUAACUUCAGGAAACUGGGGCUAAUACCGGAUAGGAGCUCCUGCUGCAUGGUGGGGGUUGGAAAGUUUCGGCGGUUGGGGAUGGACUCGCGGCUUAUCAGCUUGUUGGUGGGGUAGUGGCUUACCAAGGCUUUGACGGGUAGCCGGCCUGAGAGGGUGACCGGCCACAUUGGGACUGAGAUACGGCCCAGACUCCUACGGGAGGCAGCAGUGGGGAAUAUUGCACAAUGGGCGGAAGCCUGAUGCAGCAACGCCGCGUGCGGGAUGACGGCCUUCGGGUUGUAAACCGCUUUCGCCUGUGACGAAGCGUGAGUGACGGUAAUGGGUAAAGAAGCACCGGCUAACUACGUGCCAGCAGCCGCGGUGAUACGUAGGGUGCGAGCGUUGUCCGGAUUUAUUGGGCGUAAAGGGCUCGUAGGUGGUUGAUCGCGUCGGAAGUGUAAUCUUGGGGCUUAACCCUGAGCGUGCUUUCGAUACGGGUUGACUUGAGGAAGGUAGGGGAGAAUGGAAUUCCUGGUGGAGCGGUGGAAUGCGCAGAUAUCAGGAGGAACACCAGUGGCGAAGGCGGUUCUCUGGGCCUUUCCUGACGCUGAGGAGCGAAAGCGUGGGGAGCGAACAGGCUUAGAUACCCUGGUAGUCCACGCUGUAAACGGUGGGUACUAGGUGUGGGGUCCAUUCCACGGGUUCCGUGCCGUAGCUAACGCUUUAAGUACCCCGCCUGGGGAGUACGGCCGCAAGGCUAAAACUCAAAGGAAUUGACGGGGCCCCGCACAAGCGGCGGAGCAUGCGGAUUAAUUCGAUGCAACGCGUAGAACCUUACCUGGGUUUGACAUGGAUCGGGAGUGCUCAGAGAUGGGUGUGCCUCUUUUGGGGUCGGUUCACAGGUGGUGCAUGGCUGUCGUCAGCCCGUGUCGUGAGAUGUUGGGUUAAGUCCCGCAACGAGCGCAACCCUUGUUCACUGUUGCCAGCACGUUAUGGUGGGGACUCAGUGGAGACCGCCGGGGUCAACUCGGAGGAAGGUGGGGAUGACGUCAAGUCAUCAUGCCCCUUAUGUCCAGGGCUUCACGCAUGCUACAAUGGCUGGUACAGAGAGUGGCGAGCCUGUGAGGGUGAGCGAAUCUCGGAAAGCCGGUCUCAGUUCGGAUUGGAGUCUGCAACUCGACCUCAUGAAGUCGGAGUCGCUAGUAAUCGCAGAUCAGCAACGCUGCGGUGAAUACGUUCCCGGG